RNAcentral lists this transfer RNA (71 nucleotides) under Lachnospiraceae bacterium. RNAcentral describes it as "tRNA-Gly". It matches the Rfam family "tRNA". From Rfam's summary of the family: Transfer RNA (tRNA) molecules are approximately 80 nucleotides in length. Their secondary structure includes four short double-helical elements and three loops (D, anti-codon, and T loops). The record is from RNAcentral. Lineage: Bacteria; Bacillati; Bacillota; Clostridia; Lachnospirales; Lachnospiraceae.
GCGGACAUAGUACAUCGGUAGUACACGAGCUUCCCAAGCUUGAGAGGCGGGUUCGAUUCCCGUUGUCCGCU